Molecule: unclassified non-coding RNA, 237 nt
Filed under: Hevea brasiliensis (rubber tree)
Lineage: Eukaryota; Viridiplantae; Streptophyta; Magnoliopsida; Malpighiales; Euphorbiaceae
Source: RNAcentral
AUUUUUUCUUUCCUGGUUACAAACUUUACCUCCUGUUUGGAUGCAGAGAAAAUUGUGGUAAUGUGAAGGAAUCAUGUGGCUAUGUUUUUAGUCCAAGAUUAGUAUUCCUUGUCUUCUUUUCUUGGAUCAUAUAAGUUUAGGAUUCACACAAUUCUGUAAUUUAUUUUCUUGUGUUGUAUAUCUUGUAAUGAUCAAUAAUAGAACCUUGAAAAAUAAAUAAUAAAACCGCUACUUAAU